This 497-nucleotide ribosomal RNA is filed under the name uncultured bacterium. RNAcentral describes it as "partial 16S ribosomal RNA". It matches the Rfam family "Bacterial small subunit ribosomal RNA", at positions 28 to 507 of the family's 1533-position model. The record is from RNAcentral.
GAUGAACGCUGGCGGCGUGCCUAAUACAUGCAAGUCGAGCGAACGGACGAGAAGCUUGCUUCUCUGAUGUUAGCGGCGGACGGGUGAGUAACACGUGGAUAACCUACCUAUAAGACUGGGAUAACUUCGGGAAACCGGAGCUAAUACCGGAUGAUAUUUUGAACCGCAUGGUUCAAAAGUGAAAGACGGUCUUGCUGUCACUUAUAGAUGGAUCCGCGCUGCAUUAGCUAGUUGGUAAGGUAACGGCUUACCAAGGCAACGAUGCAUAGCCGACCUGAGAGGGUGAUCGGCCACACUGGAACUGAGACACGGUCCAGACUCCUACGGGAGGCAGCAGUAGGGAAUCUUCCGCAAUGGGCGAAAGCCUGACGGAGCAACGCCGCGUGAGUGAUGAAGCUCUUCGGAUCGUAAAACUCUGUUAUUAGGGAAGAACAUAUGUGUAAGUAACUGUGCACAUCUUGACGGUACCUAAUCAGAAAGCCACGGCUAACUACGUG